RNAcentral lists this ribosomal RNA (493 nucleotides) under uncultured bacterium. RNAcentral's name for it is "partial 16S ribosomal RNA". It matches the Rfam family "Bacterial small subunit ribosomal RNA", at positions 29 to 507 of the family's 1533-position model. The record is from RNAcentral.
ACGAACGCUGGCGGCGUGCUUAACACAUGCAAGUCGAACGGUGAAGCGCCUUCCUUUUUGGUGGGUGUGGAUGAGUGGCGAACGGGUGAGUAACACGUGAGUAACCUGCCCCCUUCUUCUGGAUAACCGCAUGAAAGUGUGGCCAAUACGGGAUAUUCUGGGUCUGUCGCAUGAUGGGUCUGGGAAAGAUAUUGUUUCGGUGGGGGAUGGGCUCGCGGCCUAUCAGCUUGUUGGUGGGGUGAUGGCCUACCAAGGCGGUGACGGGUAGCCGGCCUGAGAGGGUGGACGGUCACACUGGGACUGAGACACGGCCCAGACUCCUACGGGAGGCAGCAGUGGGGAAUAUUGCACAAUGGGCGCAAGCCUGAUGCAGCGACGCCGCGUGAGGGAUGGAGGCCUUCGGGUUGUGAACCUCUUUCGCCAGUGAAGCAGGCCUGCCUCGUUUGUGGGUGGGUUGACGGUAGCUGGAUAAGAAGCGCCGGCUAACUACGUG